This 488-nucleotide ribosomal RNA is filed under the name Klebsiella aerogenes. RNAcentral's name for it is "partial 23S ribosomal RNA". It matches the Rfam family "Bacterial large subunit ribosomal RNA", at positions 2261 to 2748 of the family's 2925-position model. The record is from RNAcentral. Lineage: Bacteria; Pseudomonadati; Pseudomonadota; Gammaproteobacteria; Enterobacterales; Enterobacteriaceae.
GUGGGUAGUUUGACUGGGGCGGUCUCCUCCCAAAGAGUAACGGAGGAGCACGAAGGUUAGCUAAUCCUGGUCGGACAUCAGGAGGUUAGUGCAAUGGCAUAAGCUAGCUUGACUGCGAGCGUGACGGCGCGAGCAGGUGCGAAAGCAGGUCAUAGUGAUCCGGUGGUUCUGAAUGGAAGGGCCAUCGCUCAACGGAUAAAAGGUACUCCGGGGAUAACAGGCUGAUACCGCCCAAGAGUUCAUAUCGACGGCGGUGUUUGGCACCUCGAUGUCGGCUCAUCACAUCCUGGGGCUGAAGUAGGUCCCAAGGGUAUGGCUGUUCGCCAUUUAAAGUGGUACGCGAGCUGGGUUUAGAACGUCGUGAGACAGUUCGGUCCCUAUCUGCCGUGGGCGCUGGAGAAUUGAGGGGGGCUGCUCCUAGUACGAGAGGACCGGAGUGGACGCAUCACUGGUGUUCGGGUUGUCAUGCCAAUGGCAUUGCCCGGUAG